GUGGGAGCCUGCUGCAGUGGUCGACCCAUGAGGUAUGCUAUUCGGUACCAACACUUCAUUCUCAACAUAAGGUUGUGUCUGUUGCUCAUAUUGUCUUCAAAUACCGGUGUGAAAAGGCUUUUUUGCUAGAUCUGCAUAUUAUGGUUCUCCAAAUACAAAACACUGAACGAUAUUGUAGUUUUUGUGAGCUUGUUCUUUAUAAGAGAAUAAUCGAAUCUUUUCAAUUGUCAUUAUGCCAUUGAUAUCGAAAUCUUGCAUGAGUUUUUGUUGAUUGUUCAGUGACUAAGCUUAUGUUGGUUAAUAUGAAUUUAAAUUGUAC
This 319-nucleotide long non-coding RNA is filed under the name Hordeum vulgare. RNAcentral describes it as "long non-coding RNA (HVUL_LNC019646)". The record is from RNAcentral. Lineage: Eukaryota; Viridiplantae; Streptophyta; Magnoliopsida; Poales; Poaceae.